CUGAGAAGCUCCCGUGCUUGUCCCACGGGUCUGCAGCUCCUGAAAUGAGCCCUGUGUCUCCUCAACCGUCCCGCCUGAAGCCCAGAGGAGCGGACCUGGAGGAUGCCUUGGCGCUCCCUCGCUGAGUCUGGUAACAGAACAGAGUCCCAACCCAGAAGACAGCCCAGGCGGGCUCUCUCUUCCUUCAGGCUGAACAUGAGUCCCACCUACAAUACCAGCAUCGGCAGGGAGCAGUGCAAGCAUCAACACCAAUGAGAAAGCAAGCAGACCAAAACCACAUGGUAUCAGCUCCCAACAUGAGACAGUCACUGGAGCUGCAGCUCAAAGUACACCAGGACCUUUGUACCAAACCUAAAAAGGAGGCAGCCCAGGAUGUGUUGAGUUCACUGACUGCACAGCCCACGUCUCUUCCAUUUGGCUGUUCAUCGUGACCUCCCAUCUCCCCAGCAUGGCCAACCCACACCGGCCUCUGUGGCCACCUCCCCAUGGCAGGCCAGGGUGGAGGCCAGCUGAGCCACUGUCCACUUCAGCCUGCGGAGGCUCUCUCUCCUGUGCUUCUCUGCACUGCUCCAGGGGUGCUAGACCGCUCUACUGCUGAGGCCAGCAUCUCAGAACACAGCUGCAGGCUCCUGACGGCACUUGGACCCAUCGCCUCCGGGACCACCGGGCAUCAGCAGCCUCGGGGCAGGGGUGUCCUCUGCACCCUUUAAUCCAGCUGCACUCCUCAGAGCUCAGGAGCCAUUCUGGACUUUUCCGCAUUUAAAUGCACUUAAAUAAUAAAGUCUACAUU
Saimiri boliviensis boliviensis (Bolivian squirrel monkey) is the source of this 790-nucleotide long non-coding RNA. RefSeq lists it as uncharacterized. The record is from RefSeq and is a predicted model, not a curated record. Lineage: Eukaryota; Metazoa; Chordata; Mammalia; Primates; Cebidae.